CGUAUAUAGUAAUAAAUUUGUGAGAAUGCAAAAAAGUUAUUAUACUGUCGAUAAGCAAAUCAGUUGUGUUGUGCCGCUAUGUUUCAAGAUAAGCAAAAUUAAUCGUAGAAAUAAAGAUUUGAUUCAAGAAACAUAUUCAUGUCAGUCGUCUUGGAACUCUAUAGUAGCCAAAAACUAUACGAGUUAAUUUGUGAUUAGGUCUAAUGAUCUUACAUAUAUUAUAAAGGGUUUAGUAAUCGUUAAAUUAUUUAAUAUCAAAAAUUUUCAAUCAUGUAAAGAUGUAAUAGUUGCAGAAAAAUACUUUUGGCCACCUAUAUUGUAAUAAUAUAUUUUAUUAACCAAAACAAAACAAAUUUAAAUCAUUCGAUCGAAUUGUUUUCGAAUUCCAGUUGCGAUUAUUUGCUACACAAGCAUAUUAAACGAAGGUGUUCGACCAAUUGUGUGAAGAUUGUGCUAAAUCAGUUUAAUAUUUUGCCACGCAUAUAUGUAUUUAUAUUAUACAGCAAUACCAGCAUGUACUCUUACUUAGAAUUAGUAAUUCAACAGUUGUGAUUUGUAUUUUACGUGUUAUUCAUUGUAGAUAGUCCAGUGAAUGUGACACAUGAAACAUUACACAUUUUCGUUUUCUUCUUUCUCUUCUUCUUUUUUUACUACUUUUCAAACAAUAAGCAUAAAGGGUAGAUAAAUAUAUCAAGACUGAUAAGAGAUAGGUAUAUAUGCACCUACUUUUUCUCAGAAUGCGUAAAUAUUUCACAUUAUAAUACUACGUGAGUAAUACAUUUGUGCAUUUGAAUGUUGUUGAUGGGCUUAUCGAAAACAACAAAUUAAGAGAAAAUAUAAAAACAACAUUCAGGCCCUUUGUUUCGCAUAGUAAAAAUAAGAGGACGAAAAACUAAAUAUUUAAUGGAACCAUCGAUUGCCAAAUCGUUGUUUUUAUUGAAAAGAAACCAAUCCGCGAUACAAUUUGUAUUAGUGUUAAUGGUGAAACGUGUGAUAAAAAAUUAACUCUGCAAGUGUUUAAUAUUUGUAAUCUUCAAAGAUAUUUUCAUACAGAAAAGAUACUGGUGCGAGUGAUAUGCAUGCAAAGAAUCAAUUAAAUGAGUUUGAAAUUAAUAGAUUCGUGAAAAAAAAAAAAUAAGAAAUAACCAAUUUUCACAAUAGUGAUCAGCAAAGUCGAGCACUAAGGCUUCUCGAAUAAGUACGAUAAAAGGCGAGUGAUAAUAUCUAACGAAUUUAGGAACAGGUCGAAAUGAAGGUAAACAAUAAUCGGAGGAUGUGCUGUAGUUGGAUCAACAACGUGGCUUGGAAACAACUCGCCGAUCAAGAAUGAAAAAGGUCUCGAAAUAACGUUGCGUGUGGACCUGUGUCGUAGAGAAUAUACUCGUACUGCAUAUAUCGUAAUACCUGCGAUGAAUGCACCUUGCCAGCUAAAAUGGGUCUGCUAUCGACAAAAAUUGGCCUCUUUCCUUCAGAAGAUAGAAAGAAAUCACCAUUGUUUCUCAAACGUAUGGUGCCCUGACGUCUGGAUACUUUCCAGGCUGGACCUUCUAAGGUUAAAUCAACAUCAACGCUGUGAUCCUUUGUUGAACGACCCACAGUGAUCUUCAAAAAUUAAAAUACUGUUCUUACAUGUUUAAAAAAAUGUGUGUGCAAUAAAAAACCAAUGAUUUGAAAACCAA
Long non-coding RNA from Neodiprion virginianus, 1679 nucleotides. RefSeq lists it as uncharacterized. NCBI's taxonomy places the organism in Eukaryota, Metazoa, Arthropoda, Insecta, Hymenoptera, Diprionidae. The record is from RefSeq and is a predicted model, not a curated record. The transcript has 2 exons.